GGUGAGUGCCUAGCAUACUACACACCAGAACCAACACACAGGACCCAAAUCAGCAUACUCUGAAGUCACAACUAGACACAUGGGCUCAACUGUCAGAGGAAAUCUUCCUAGAAGGAGCCCACCCCAAAGAGGCCUUGAAACCAGCAGCUGAUCGAUGACUUGGUUAAACAACACUGGCCUACUUCAGACCGCAGGGAGAUGGCUGAGAUCAGAUGGAUUACACAUCCAUCAUAUGAGGUACAAUGACAAAUUUCCAGAGACUGAAGGAUAUUGAGAAAACAGCAGGGCCUGGGGGGGAUGGAGUUUGCACAGGUGCCUCAGAACUAUCUUUAAAUCAACCAGUUCUAUUGCAUUCUAGUACCAGCUCAGCCUUGGCUGAGUGACACCUGGCAAAACAGCCUUGCUGAGCCUUGGUUUCCUCAUCUGUGAAAUGGGGAUAAUAUCUGCCUCAAAAUAAGAUAAUGAGUGAAUGCAUUUUGAAAACAGCGGAACUGCUGUAAAACUCACAGAGGAGGUUAUUAUGAUUUGCCCUGAAUAUGACUUGACUCACCAAGCAAUGUUCUCUUAAUCUGGUUUCCCAAGGAAACUCCUACUGACCCACCAAGGCAAUUGUUUAUGUGACCUCAGCAGCUCCCCUCCUUUCUGGACCUUAAUUUUAUCAUUUGUAAAACAAGGACUUGGGCUUGAUAACCUCCAGGGCCCCUGACAUGCUGUAAGAUUCCUCACAUGAGAUAUGCUCUGAUUCCCUAUUUUUCACUGUAAGGUCACAGAAGGCAAAUUUGUGAGCUCAUCUCCCUGAGUCACCCUGGGUGACUGAGUUUCUACAUGUGCAAGCCUAAGGCACUUGCCCCAUCCUUAUCAUUAGGCUCUGUACUGGAUACCGCCAACUCCUGCAACAGAAUAACUCCCAGAGCACCCCAAAAGGAAAUGGAGAGACACGGGAAGAUGGCUGUCUGGCCCAAGUGUAUCCCCACUCAGCCUAAGAUUCAUUUUGCCCUUGGGCACUGCUCAUCAGUUACAGCUGCCACCACAGAAGGAAACACCUCCUUCCAUAAUAAAACAAAAAGCCAGAUUCUUCAAGGUUGCCCAUGUAAGGAAAAACUUGGAAGGUCUGGAUUUAAUUUUAUUAAGGGAGCCCCAAGCCAGCAGAAGGCCAAAAGGCAAUUAACAAAAGAGGUGGAGUAUGCAAAUGUCCUUUGCCAAGGCCUGAAUUUCAAAAUCUAAGGGGCUGGAGGAAGAAGGAAAGCGAGAACUCACACAUCCUGAGUACGUACUAAGGUGCCAGGAAAUGACCUUCCCAUCAUCCACAAUGAAAAGAGCUACCUAUGUACCUACUGGAUGCCACACCCUUUAUAUAUGUACCACUUCCACACCAAUUCUGCAAGAUAAUAUUAUGCACUUUUUAUAGAUGAAGAAACAGGCUUUGGAGUUGUCCUGCUUUCCUCAGCUACCUUCUUUACCGAGCGUCUGGCUGUGGCCACCUGUUGAUAAUGGUCAGGCUACAUCAUAAACAAGUCUUUAGGGGGAAAAAAAAUCAAUUCAUAUUAAUGGAGCAGAACAGGACUGGAAGAACAGCAAAGGGUAAAGGAAGGAGGUGCUGGGAUUCAUCUGGAUUAUAGUCUCAUCCAUUUAGAAGCCUCAAAACACACCCAACCCCACGGGCCUCCUGUUAUUGGUGCCUAGGAGUGCUGGUGAUGCAGAGGCCGUCCCCAGCUCCUUUCAAGAUCUGAGAGAGGCCACCAGGCCUGCCGCAUUGACCAUCAAGCAGCUCAGCCCCUUCCUACUGCCUUUGUUGGGUGGGGUGGGGGGCCAGACUGUUGUCUGGCAGCCAAGAAGGAACAAAAGGCUUAUUCACUGACUCAGCUUCUCUCCUAAGGGGGUGGAGUAGUGUUGACUUACAGUUUUUCCCUUGCCUUUUUAUCAGAAAAUAAACGCUCCCUCCGGAUAGCACAGACACUGCGCUUGGGGCAGGGACAGGGAGCUGCAGACUGGCUGGCUGAACCCCGUAGCCUAGACAACCAUGACAAAGACCCGACAGGCUGAGCCCUCACCCGCCCUCACCCACCCCCACCUGCAGCCCUACUCCCCUGAGCAGAAGCCUGGUUCCUGCUUGCCCUUCCCAGCCAGGGGAAAACUCCAUCCUAUUAGCCUCAUGGUCCUUUGCAGAGUCCAAGGGUUACAGUAAUUCCAUCCAUGACUGCUCCAGAGCCAUGAUCCAGCGCUGAGCUGGCCAGAGUCAGCAGGUGUGAAUGGAGCUGCUGCCUGCCUCUGAUACCCUCUUUGGAGUGAUGGAAACACCCCAGACUUCCUUCAAGCAACACAGAUGAGGAAACUCAGGAAACCAGAGAAGGUAAAUUACUUGUCUGGUGUCACAUCCAGAAUUGGCAGCAGUUGCAAAAUUAUAUCCUGGUUCUUUUGACUUCCAGACCCAGGUAUUUUAUUUUCAAAGUUUCCAUGUUUCCUACUAUCCUUUGCAAUUCAAAGCAGAUUUGCGCGAUGCUGCUGAGCCUCGCUGGGCUUUUGGGAGAUACUGAUAAUCCUUGGACACAUCUUACUGGCUGUGUAGCUUAGACAUGGCACUUAAUUCUUCUAGGUCUCAGCAGCUUAUUGUAAAACAGUGUAAAAAGUGAACCUUGUAAGUGUGGUCAUGAGGCUUGGGCCAGAUCAUCAGGAAGAGCAUUCAGUAAGGCCCUAUUUAUUUAAAAAGCAUGCAAUAAAUGUUGGCUGCUAUUAUGAUUA
Zalophus californianus (California sea lion) is the source of this 2739-nucleotide long non-coding RNA. RefSeq lists it as uncharacterized. The transcript is spliced from 2 exons. NCBI's taxonomy places the organism in Eukaryota, Metazoa, Chordata, Mammalia, Carnivora, Otariidae. The record is from RefSeq and is a predicted model, not a curated record.